Molecule: ribosomal RNA, 550 nt
Filed under: uncultured bacterium
Lineage: Bacteria
Description: bacterial SSU rRNA
Rfam family: Bacterial small subunit ribosomal RNA
Source: RNAcentral
GGGAACGUGCCCUUCUCUAAGGAAUAGCCACUGGAAACGGUGAGUAAUACCUUAUACGCCCUUCGGGGGAAAGAUUUAUCGGAGAAGGAUCGGCCCGCGUUAGAUUAGAUAGUUGGUGGGGUAACGGCCUACCAAGUCUACGAUCUAUAGCUGGUUUUAGAGGAUGAUCAGCAACACUGGGACUGAGACACGGCCCAGACUCCUACGGGAGGCAGCAGUGGGGAAUCUUGGACAAUGGGCGCAAGCCUGAUCCAGCCAUGCCGCGUGAGCGAUGAAGGCCCUAGGGUCGUAAAGCUCUUUCGCCUGUGAAGAUAAUGACGGUAGCAGGUAAAGAAACCCCGGCUAACUCCGUGCCAGCAGCCGCGGUAAUACGGAGGGGGUUAGCGUUGUUCGGAAUUACUGGGCGUAAAGCGUACGUGGGCGGAUUAGUCAGUCAGAGGUGAAAUCCCAGGGCUCAACCCUGGAACUGCCUUUGAUGCUGCUAGUCUUGAGUUCGAGAGAGGUAAGUGGAAUUCCGAGUGUAGAGGUGAAAUUCGUAGAUAUUCGGAGG